UAAUAUAAAAUAAAGAUGAUAGAAUAGUCUUGAUUUAUUUUUGCAAUUUAAAAAAUAUUUAGAAAUAUAUUUUUAAUUCAUUAGUAAUUAUUAAAAUAAAAUUUGAAGAUUUUUGUAAAAAUUACUUUCUUGAUUUUUAAAUUCUAUUAUAAAAAAUUACAUCAGAUUUAGAGUUUAGAAUUUAGAAUUUUAGGAUUAAAUAUUUAGGAUUUAGAAUUUAUAUUUAGAGCUUAAAAUCAAAGGCUAAAAAUUUAGGAUUUAAGAUUUAGGAAUUAAAAGUUGAAGAUUUAGAAUUUAGAAUUAUAAAGUUAUGAUUGAUUUUUUGACUCUCUUAUGUUUGGAUUUUGACUUAAUGUACAUUGAACUUAGCCACUCCAUUAAUUUGGUGAGGUAUAAAAUUAUACUCACUCCAUUAAUUUGGUGAGGUAUAAAAUUAUACUCUCUUCAGUAUAGUUGACCCCUAAUGCUUUCUUUGAAUUUGGAUUCAUAAGCAGGCUCUAUCCACCCUUCAUUUCCUUCUUUAUUUGCUAAUAUGUUUCAGUAAAGCUCAUGAGUCUAAGAUGGACUAAGAGAUGAAGUUCUAAAUGAAUACCCAUAAUCAAAAUGAGGUCAUGACUUGGACUUUUUGUAGUCACAUACUUUUUGAUGUGAAAAAAUUAUUUUGAGGUUUAUUUAUAUUUAUUAUAGUGUUUAAAUUAUAUAAGAUUUAGAUAUUUAGAAUAAAGUUAUAAGAGAAGAUUGGAGCUCAAAGUUGAAGAUUCAAACUAUUAAGAAGCUUAUUUGGAGGGAUGAAGGUAAAGUAUGGAUGGAUGAAGAUAACAGAUGAAGAUCUUCAUCCCUAUUGAUCGAAGGCUAUGCCCAAUAGGCUUUUAGGAGAUAGUCUGCAACCAUGAGAAGAUUUUGUAGUGACCUCAAAAGAACAUUUGAGAAUCAAAAGCUAGAAUUAUAAGUUUUAGGAUUUGGACUAUAAUUUGGAUAUAAAAAUUAGUGAGUUUGGAGUUAAGUUGAAGAAAUUAUAGCUACUUGAAGUUAAGAUAUCAUUUUAAGACAUACUAUUGUUCUUUUGAGCAUACGAGGAAUUUUACAAUAGUUUUUUGAGAUUAAAAGGUGCAAUUAGAACGGCAAUUUCAUGACUUACAUCUUUUAUAAAGAAAUUAUUAUAUUUAAAGUCUAGAUGAAGAAGUUAUAGAGAGUUGAAGUCAAUACAUUUAAAUUAAAGGCAAUAAGUAAGUGAUUUUAUUCAAAGUAAUGAUUAGAGCCAUAUCUUAAGUUGUCGAAUGAAUUUUUGGCUCAAAUAUUUUAAAAAAGGUGGAAUAAUGUAUUAAAAAGCUAUAUAUAUAAAAAAUUUGAUAUUUGAGUACUUAGUUUGUGAGAUAUAAAGAAAAUUAUAUGUAAGUAUAUAAAAAUUAAGGUUUUGAAGCUACUUUUAGGGUUUUGGUAAUAUCUUAAGAUCCAUGAUGAAUUUGUAGUUGAAAUUUGUUGUGGUAGUUUUUAGAAGUACAUCAAUACUUUAUAUAAUAUUUGAGUAUGUUUGAAUAGUCCAAUUGAGAGAUAUGAGUU
RNAcentral lists this long non-coding RNA (1560 nucleotides) under Physcomitrium patens. RNAcentral's name for it is "long non-coding RNA (PPAT_LNC011997)". The record is from RNAcentral. Lineage: Eukaryota; Viridiplantae; Streptophyta; Bryopsida; Funariales; Funariaceae.